UACAGAGGUCUCAAGCGUUGUUCGGAUUCAUUGGGCGUAAAGGGUGCGUAGGUGGCGUCGUAAGUCGGGUGUGAAAUUUCGGAGCUUAACUCCGAAACUGCAUUCGAUACUGCCGUGCUUGAGGACUGGAGAGGAGACUGGAAUUUACGGUGUAGCGGUGAAAUGCGUAGAUAUCGUAAGGAAGACCAGUGGCGAAGGCGGGUCUCUGGGCCGGUACUGACACUGAGGAGCGAAAGCGUGGGUAGCAAACAGG
RNAcentral lists this ribosomal RNA (253 nucleotides) under uncultured bacterium. Its description in RNAcentral is "partial 16S ribosomal RNA". It matches the Rfam family "Bacterial small subunit ribosomal RNA", at positions 524 to 776 of the family's 1533-position model. The record is from RNAcentral.